RNAcentral lists this ribosomal RNA (253 nucleotides) under uncultured bacterium. RNAcentral's name for it is "partial 16S ribosomal RNA". It matches the Rfam family "Bacterial small subunit ribosomal RNA", at positions 524 to 776 of the family's 1533-position model. The record is from RNAcentral.
UACGAAGGGUGCAAACGUUGCUCGGAAUUAUUGGGCGUAAAGCGCACGUAGGCGGCUUAGCAAGUCGGAUGUGAAAUCCCUCGGCUCAACCAAGGAAGUGCAUCCGAAACUGCAGAGCUUGAGUACUUAAGAGGAUCGCGGAAUUCCCGGUGUAGAGGUGAAAUUCGUAGAUAUCGGGAGGAACACCAGUGGCGAAGGCGGCCCCCUGGGCCGGCCCUGACACUGAGACGCGAAGGCGUGGGGAGCGAACGGG